Molecule: non-coding RNA, 93 nt
Organism: Crenichthys baileyi (White River springfish)
Lineage: Eukaryota; Metazoa; Chordata; Actinopteri; Cyprinodontiformes; Goodeidae
Source: the annotation of a GenBank genome assembly
GGUGCUGGUGGCGUAGGGGUUAAGCGCGCGACUAUUUAUAGAGGCUAUAGUCCUUGAUGCAGCUGUCCCAGGUUCAAGUCCUGACCUUUGCCA